This 1038-nucleotide unclassified non-coding RNA is filed under the name Patiria miniata (bat star). RNAcentral's name for it is "uncharacterized LOC119743520, transcript variant X2". The record is from RNAcentral. Lineage: Eukaryota; Metazoa; Echinodermata; Asteroidea; Valvatida; Asterinidae.
CUCGAAAGCUGCAAGUGAAGGUGUGGUUCCGGGUUACAAGCAUGCAAGCCGACGCCGAAACCGGUGAAACAGGUCCACCCGCCCCGAUGAUUUUCACAUAAAUUAACGGCAUAGGCCUACUUACUUUCAGUCCUUUCAAGCUGAGUUUCAGUAUCUGAAAACCUAGAAAACCAGUCAACAGCGUCUCCGAUAUCUUGCCAAAAGGAGACGGAUAAUCAUCCUCCUCAUCAUCAUUGCCGGCAUCAUUCUGCGACACCCACCAUGAAUUCCGUCGUAACCGAGAAAGCCCUCUCCUGGCUGGCUUCCAAGAUGGGAGCAGACUGGGAACAAAUUGGCAUCCAGUGCUUGGGCAUGUCCAAAAAUGACAUCUUCCAGUGUAAGGCGGACAAUCCCUACACUGUGCAAAACCAGAUCUUCAGCUUGUUGAACAAGUGGAGAUGUCGCAGCGGCUACAAUGUAACCUAUGCGCAGCUGUUUGAAAUGCUACUUCAGUUCCAGGAGUUUGACAAGAACAUUUUGGAAGAAAUGCAAACGAAGAUACCAACGUUUUGAACCUGUGUGCGAUGGUUCCUGGUAAAAAGCAUGAACGACAUGUACUUAUGAUGUUCUUGGACUACUGAUUUUAUUGGAGAAAUGCUGAAGAAGAAAAACUGAACUUGUAGAAAAGACUGUAUGAUUAACAACACCGAUUGAAAAGAACAUUGAAAUUGACGUUUAUCCUGCUCAGGAUGACAUGUAUAAUAUCUGAAUCACCUUCCUUUUUAAAUCAUGAUAUCAUAACUAGAGCAAAACAUUUGUGUGAAAAAUGCUAGCUGAUUAGGCAGUGCAAUCUUCACUGUCAUUCAUUUCAAUCAUGAAUAAGGAAUUGCUAAACUAGAAGGAAUUUUGAAAAAUUCAACAAGUUAAACCAGUUCAAGAUUGAGCGAUUUCAUCCGGUGUUUUGGGGUUGGAAUGAUUGUAUCAUACAUUACUUUCAACAAAACUGUUAUCUCCUUUCUUUAUAGACCUCUGACAUUAUGAUGUCUUGAUUAUACACUA